This 1141-nucleotide long non-coding RNA is filed under the name Manihot esculenta (cassava). Its description in RNAcentral is "long non-coding RNA (MESC_LNC009008)". Lineage: Eukaryota; Viridiplantae; Streptophyta; Magnoliopsida; Malpighiales; Euphorbiaceae. The record is from RNAcentral.
AAUAAGAAAGAAUGGUCAGGGGCCUACCGGGUGUGCCCCGGCAGAGGCCCUCCGACGCUCAAGUCAGAUUUUAUGGCUCAGAGUAGUAUAUUUAGGCAAGGGUUACAGUAAGAAUAAAAAUGGUGUCCAGGAAGGAGAAGGAAGAAGAAGAGAGUCCCCCUUUUCUGCGUGGCCUUUACCGUGAUAUAUAUAUCUGUCUCUCUGCCACAAUACUAGCUGUCUUCUGUCGCCUAGCUCCGUAUGUACGGAUGUGUCAGGUGCCUGCUCCAUGCGUAACGGCCAUUAAUUCUCCUCUGAUACGUAUGAUUCUCCUCUGAUACGCAUGCGGAAGGACUUACCAGCGGGGCAUCUUGGUCAUUUUCCCUUUUCCGGGCUGGGUUGAAUGGUAGGGCUGAAGUUGAGCCUGGUGAGGGCUUGAUUACUGGGCCGAGAGGUUUGGGCCGGUUUGAUUGAGGAGUCUAGGCGGAGUUCCGGCCCUAUGACUGAGCGGGCUGGACCUGGCUCUCGAGGGGAAUAUUGAAGCCUUCGGAUCAUGGACUGUUUUCAUGGGCCUGGCCUUUAUACCGGGGUGAAGAAAUCCAGCGAUCAUCACCAGUUAUGCCAAAUUUUGUUUUUAUAUUAGCAUAUAUGUAUAUAUAUAUAUAUAUAUAGAGAGAGAGAGAGAGAGAGAGAGAGAGGAAGAGCUUGGUUUAACCUUUCCUUUAUAAAAAUGCUUUAUAUGACUAAGCAGCAGAAUUUUCUUCCCAGUGAAGUAUUUGGGUUUGAAUGAAUCAUAAAAAAAAACUUGGGUUAUACUUCAACUCUGUAUUCUCAGAAGCCUGUUAAAAUGUCUGCAAGUUUUAAUUCUCCAUUUAUUUAGCUAGAUAUCUAGCUAAUGACAUCUGUAAUUUUUGUAAAAAGAAUGAAUGUUUUAAACAAUUUUUAAAAAAUUUAAUUGGUGAAAGUGCUAAUAAUGAUAAUUCAAGAAUUAAAUAGCUAUUUGUUGGAAAUUUGGCUGAUAAAAUAUGUGAAAGCAUACUAAGCAAAUGGAUUGAAGGUUAACAAAAUCAAAAUUUAGGGCACUUUCCAAGAGAAUGGAUGAUAUGCGAGUCAAAACUGACGAAAUUGUUGUUCAACUAUAUUUGGAAGGCUUCAGAGUUAG